This 213-nucleotide unclassified non-coding RNA is filed under the name Phaeosphaeria podocarpi. RNAcentral's name for it is "partial internal transcribed spacer region". The stretch from base 1 to 46 matches the Rfam family "Eukaryotic small subunit ribosomal RNA", at positions 1786 to 1831 of the family's 1831-position model. The record is from RNAcentral. Lineage: Eukaryota; Fungi; Ascomycota; Dothideomycetes; Pleosporales; Phaeosphaeriaceae.
AAGUCGUAACAAGGUUUCCGUAGGUGAACCUGCGGAAGGAUCAUUACAUUCAGUAGCCUCGCUACUUGUUUAUACCCUUGUUUUUUGCGUACUAUUGUUUCCUCGGCGGGCUUGCCUGCCGGUUGGACGAAACUAUAACCUUUUUAAAUCUUCAAUCAGCGUCUGAAUUAUACAUAAUAAUUACAACUUUCAACAACGGAUCUCUUGGUUCUG